RNAcentral lists this ribosomal RNA (524 nucleotides) under uncultured bacterium. Its description in RNAcentral is "partial 16S ribosomal RNA". It matches the Rfam family "Bacterial small subunit ribosomal RNA", at positions 28 to 523 of the family's 1533-position model. The record is from RNAcentral.
GACGAACGCUGGCGGCGUGCCUAAUACAUGCAAGUCGAACGAAGCUGUUUUAACUGGUGCUUGCACCGACUUAAACAACUGAGUGGCGAACGGGUGAGUAACACGUGGGUAACCUGCCCCAAAGCGGGGGAUAACAUUUGGAAAAAGAUGCUAAUACCGCAUAAACACAGAAACCACAUGGUUUCUGUGUCAAAGAUGGUUUCGGCUAUCACUUUGGGAUGGACCCGCGGCGUAUUAGCUAGUUGGUAAGGUAAUGGCUUACCAAGGCAAUGAUACGUAGCCGAACUGAGAGGUUGAUCGGCCACAUUGGGACUGAGACACGGCCCAAACUCCUACGGGAGGCAGCAGUAGGGAAUCUUCCACAAUGGACGAAAGUCUGAUGGAGCAACGCCGCGUGAGUGAAGAAGGUUUUCGGAUCGUAAAACUCUGUUGUCAGAGAAGAACGUGUGCGAGAGUAACUGUUCGUGCAGUGACGGUAUCUGGCCAGAAAGCCACGGCUAACUACGUGCCAGCCGCCGCAGUAA